ACUUAAAUUGAAGAGUUUGAUCAUGGCUCAGAUUGAACGCUGGCGGCAGGCCUAACACAUGCAAGUCGAGCGGUAGCACAGAGAGCUUGCUCUCGGGUGACGAGCGGCGGACGGGUGAGUAAUGUCUGGGAAACUGCCUGAUGGAGGGGGAUAACUACUGGAAACGGUAGCUAAUACCGCAUAAUGUCGCAAGACCAAAGUGGGGGACCUUCGGGCCUCAUGCCAUCAGAUGUGCCCAGAUGGGAUUAGCUAGUAGGUGGGGUAACGGCUCACCUAGGCGACGAUCCCUAGCU
Molecule: ribosomal RNA, 293 nt
Filed under: Klebsiella pneumoniae
Lineage: Bacteria; Pseudomonadati; Pseudomonadota; Gammaproteobacteria; Enterobacterales; Enterobacteriaceae
Description: partial 16S ribosomal RNA
Rfam family: Bacterial small subunit ribosomal RNA
Source: RNAcentral